GACGAACGCUGGCGGCGUGCUUAACACAUGCAAGUCGAGCGGUAAGGCCCUUUCGGGGGUACACGAGCGGCGAACGGGUGAGUAACACGUGGGUGACCUGCCCUCAGCUCUGGGAUAAGCCUGGGAAACCGGGUCUAAUACUGGAUAUGACUCCAUGACGCAUGUUGUGGGGUGGAAAGCCUUGUGCGGCUGAGGAUGGGCCCGCGGCCUAUCAGCUUGUUGGUGGGGUGAGGCCUACCAAGGCGACGACGGGUAGCCGGCCUGAGAGGGCGACCGGCCACACUGGGACUGAGACACGGCCCAGACUCCUACGGGAGGCAGCAGCGGGGAAUCUUGCGCAAUGGGCGAAAGCCUGACGCAGCGACGCCGCGUGAGGGAUGACGGCCU
Molecule: ribosomal RNA, 387 nt
Filed under: uncultured bacterium
Lineage: Bacteria
Description: bacterial SSU rRNA
Rfam family: Bacterial small subunit ribosomal RNA
Source: RNAcentral